This 387-nucleotide transfer-messenger RNA is filed under the name Oleiphilaceae. Its description in RNAcentral is "Alkalimarinus sp913060665 Standard tmRNA". It matches the Rfam family "transfer-messenger RNA". Rfam says of the family: Bacterial tmRNA, also known as 10Sa RNA or SsrA, is named for its dual tRNA and mRNA-like properties. Its role is to liberate the mRNA from a stalled ribosome. To accomplish this part of the tmRNA is used as a reading frame that ends in a translation stop signal. Lineage: Bacteria; Pseudomonadati; Pseudomonadota; Gammaproteobacteria; Oceanospirillales. RNAcentral also lists the same sequence under 1 other name. The record is from RNAcentral.
GGGGACGACAUGGCUUCGACGCUGGUAACAAAACCAAAGGUGCAUGUCGAGAUGACAACUAAUCUCGUAAAAUCAAAGUUGUAAACUUAUAGUUGCAAAUGAUGACAACUACGGUGCUCAACUAGCUGCGUAAGCAGUGAAAGAACACUUUUAGGGUUUCGACCCUAACGGUCUUUAGCAAGGUGCCUGUAUCGCGCUACUGACUGUCACUGAGAACAGGAUCGUAACGCGGCAUACUCAGGGUCGUUUUACUAAAUUUUACUGAGAUCGCCAACCACGUCCUGCCCGUUGGGCUGUGGAAGGUUAAACUAAUUAACGGAAUCUAAGCAUGUAGAGCCGAUGGCAGAGUGCUGACGGACGCGGGUUCGAUCCCCGCCGUCUCCACCA